RNAcentral lists this long non-coding RNA (475 nucleotides) under Brassica rapa (field mustard). RNAcentral's name for it is "long non-coding RNA (BRAP_LNC007577)". Lineage: Eukaryota; Viridiplantae; Streptophyta; Magnoliopsida; Brassicales; Brassicaceae. The record is from RNAcentral.
GCCACAUAUAAUUCUAGUAUCUUUCUUUUUUUCUUUUUUUCUAGUUUUUAUACUAUGAGGAAGUAGCAAGUCCCGCUUUUCACCAAUUUAGAAAAUUUGGAAAAAAAAGAAGAGAAGAAGAUAUUUGGAACUCAUGUGGUCGAGACUUACGUAAGUCUCGCCAAAUGUGAUUCAAGCAUCUUUCUUCUCUUCUUUUUUUUAGUAUUUUUAAUAUUUUCGUCGUAAUAUCGUCGUUAGUUUACGACUCUUUUACGACGAUUUUGGCUUACGUGGAAUUAGCGUGCCCCGCUUUUUUAAUUUCGUCGUAAACUCUUCGUGGCCUUACGAGGUGUUCACGACGAAAUCAUCCUACGUGGAAUUAAAGAGUGCCUCCUUCGUCAUUUACUUUACGUGGUAUUUACGUCAAUUUACCUUACGAGGUCUUUACGACGAUUCUGUCCUACGUGGAAUUAAAGAGUGCCUCCUUCGUCAUUUA